This 301-nucleotide ribosomal RNA is filed under the name uncultured bacterium. Its description in RNAcentral is "partial 16S ribosomal RNA". It matches the Rfam family "Bacterial small subunit ribosomal RNA", at positions 509 to 807 of the family's 1533-position model. The record is from RNAcentral.
CAGCCGCCGCGGGAAUACGAAGGGGGCUAGCGUUGUUCGGAUUUACUGGGCGUAAAGCGCACGUAGGCGGACUUUUAAGUCAGGAGUGAAAUCCCGGGGCUCAACCCCGGAACUGCCUUUGAUACUGGAAGUCUUGAGUAUGGUAGAGGUGAGUGGAAUUCCGAGUGUAGAGGUGAAAUUCGUAGAUAUUCGGAGGAACACCAGUGGCGAAGGCGGCUCACUGGACCAUUACUGACGCUGAGGUGCGAAAGCGUGGGGAGCAAACAGGAUUAGAUACCCCGGUAGUCCCUGUCUCUUAUAC